This 73-nucleotide transfer RNA is filed under the name Candidatus Melainabacteria bacterium HGW-Melainabacteria-1. RNAcentral describes it as "tRNA-Pro". It matches the Rfam family "tRNA". Rfam says of the family: Transfer RNA (tRNA) molecules are approximately 80 nucleotides in length. Their secondary structure includes four short double-helical elements and three loops (D, anti-codon, and T loops). Further hydrogen bonds mediate the characteristic L-shaped molecular structure. tRNAs have two regions of fundamental functional importance: the anti-codon, which is responsible for specific mRNA codon recognition, and the 3' end, to which the tRNAs corresponding amino acid is attached (by aminoacyl-tRNA synthetases). tRNAs cope with the degeneracy of the genetic code in two manners: having more than one tRNA (with a specific anti-codon) for a particular amino acid; and 'wobble' base-pairing, i.e. permitting non-standard base-pairing at the 3rd anti-codon position. Lineage: Bacteria; Bacillati; Candidatus Melainabacteria. The record is from RNAcentral.
CGGGAUGUAGCGCAGUUGGUAGCGCGCCUGCUUUGGGAGCAGGAUGUCGCAGGUUCGAGCCCUGUCAUCCCGA